RNAcentral lists this ribosomal RNA (1571 nucleotides) under Lactiplantibacillus plantarum. Its description in RNAcentral is "Lactobacillus plantarum partial 16S ribosomal RNA". It matches the Rfam family "Bacterial small subunit ribosomal RNA". Lineage: Bacteria; Bacillati; Bacillota; Bacilli; Lactobacillales; Lactobacillaceae. The record is from RNAcentral.
AUUAAUUCGAGAGUUUGAUCAUGGCUCAGGACGAACGCUGGCGGCGUGCCUAAUACAUGCAAGUCGAACGAACUCUGGUAUUGAUUGGUGCUUGCAUCAUGAUUUACAUUUGAGUGAGUGGCGAACUGGUGAGUAACACGUGGGAAACCUGCCCAGAAGCGGGGGAUAACACCUGGAAACAGAUGCUAAUACCGCAUAACAACUUGGACCGCAUGGUCCGAGCUUGAAAGAUGGCUUCGGCUAUCACUUUUGGAUGGUCCCGCGGCGUAUUAGCUAGAUGGUGGGGUAACGGCUCACCAUGGCAAUGAUACGUAGCCGACCUGAGAGGGUAAUCGGCCACAUUGGGACUGAGACACGGCCCAAACUCCUACGGGAGGCAGCAGUAGGGAAUCUUCCACAAUGGACGAAAGUCUGAUGGAGCAACGCCGCGUGAGUGAAGAAGGGUUUCGGCUCGUAAAACUCUGUUGUUAAAGAAGAACAUAUCUGAGAGUAACUGUUCAGGUAUUGACGGUAUUUAACCAGAAAGCCACGGCUAACUACGUGCCAGCAGCCGCGGUAAUACGUACGUGGCAAGCGUUGUCCGGAUUUAUUGGGCGUAAAGCGAGCGCAGGCGGUUUUUUAAGUCUGAUGUGAAAGCCUUCGGCUCAACCGAAGAAGUGCAUCGGAAACUGGGAAACUUGAGUGCAGAAGAGGACAGUGGAACUCCAUGUGUAGCGGUGAAAUGCGUAGAUAUAUGGAAGAACACCAGUGGCGAAGGCGGCUGUCUGGUCUGUAACUGACGCUGAGGCUCGAAAGUAUGGGUAGCAAACAGGAUUAGAUACCCUGGUAGUCCAUACCGUAAACGAUGAAUGCUAAGUGUUGGAGGGUUUCCGCCCUUCAGUGCUGCAGCUAACGCAUUAAGCAUUCCGCCUGGGGAGUACGGCCGCAAGGCUGAAACUCAAAGGAAUUGACGGGGGCCCGCACAAGCGGUGGAGCAUGUGGUUUAAUUCGAAGCUACGCGAAGAACCUUACCAGGUCUUGACAUACUAUGCAAAUCUAAGAGAUUAGACGUUCCCUUCGGGGACAUGGAUACAGGUGGUGCAUGGUUGUCGUCAGCUCGUGUCGUGAGAUGUUGGGUUAAGUCCCGCAACGAGCGCAACCCUUAUUAUCAGUUGCCAGCAUUAAGUUGGGCACUCUGGUGAGACUGCCGGUGACAAACCGGAGGAAGGUGGGGAUGACGUCAAAUCAUCAUGCCCCUUAUGACCUGGGCUACACACGUGCUACAAUGGAUGGUACAACGAGUUGCGAACUCGCGAGAGUAAGCUAAUCUCUUAAAGCCAUUCUCAGUUCGGAUUGUAGGCUGCAACUCGCCUACAUGAAGUCGGAAUCGCUAGUAAUCGCGGAUCAGCAUGCCGAGGUGAAUACGUUCCCGGGCCUUGUACACACCGCCCGUCACUCCAUGAGAGUUUGUAACACCCAAAGUCGGUGGGGUAACCUUUUAGGAACCAGCCGCCUAAGGUGGGACAGAUGAUUAGGGUGAAGUCGUAACAAGGUAGCCGUAGGAGAACCUGCGGUUGGAUCACCUCCUUACU